CAAAGAGAAGCGACCUCGCGAGAGCAAGCGGACCUCAUAAAGUGCGUCGUAGUCCGGAUUGGAGUCUGCAACUCGACUCCAUGAAGUCGGAAUCGCUAGUAAUCGUGGAUCAGAAUGCCACGGUGAAUACGUUCCCGGGCCUUGUACACACCGCCCGUCACACCAUGGGAGUGGGUUGCAAAAGAAGUAGGUAGCUUAACCUUCGGGAGGGCGCUUACCACUUUGUGAUUCAUGACUGGGGUGAAGUCGUAACAAGGUAACCGUAGGGGAACCUGCGGUUGGAUCACCUCCUUACCUUAAAGAA
This 304-nucleotide ribosomal RNA is filed under the name Salmonella enterica. Its description in RNAcentral is "partial 16S ribosomal RNA". It matches the Rfam family "Bacterial small subunit ribosomal RNA", at positions 1240 to 1533 of the family's 1533-position model. Lineage: Bacteria; Pseudomonadati; Pseudomonadota; Gammaproteobacteria; Enterobacterales; Enterobacteriaceae. The record is from RNAcentral.